This 1940-nucleotide ribosomal RNA is filed under the name Candidatus Poseidoniales archaeon. Its description in RNAcentral is "partial 23S ribosomal RNA". It matches the Rfam family "Archaeal large subunit ribosomal RNA", at positions 19 to 2080 of the family's 2987-position model. The record is from RNAcentral. Lineage: Archaea; Methanobacteriati; Thermoplasmatota; Candidatus Poseidoniia; Candidatus Poseidoniales.
CAUCUGGGGGAUCGCUCGGCUCGAGUACCGAAGAAGGUCGUGACAAGCUGCGAUAAGCUGCGGGGAGAUGCAUGAGUGUCUAGGAUCCGCAGAUAGCUGAAUGGGACUUCCUAUCCCUUAGGGGAUAAUCGCAAUAGCGAUAGGGAACCCCCCGAAUUGAAGCAUCUUAGUAGGGGGAGGAAAAGAAAUCAAUUGAUACUCCGUGAGUAGUGGCGAACGAAAACGGACUAGGACAAACCGAAUCUCGACUGGAAACUGAGAGACAUGUGGUGCGACCAUUUAUUGCCUAAAUUACUGAAAUAGAAGUCGUCUGGAAUGACACAGCCAUAGAGGGUGAAAGUCCCGUAUAUGUAGGUAACAUGGCCACGUAAUGAGUCAGGAGUAGCAUGCGUUGGAUAUCGCGUGUGAAGACGGGAGGCAGGAACUUCCAAUCCUAAGUAUAGCUCGAGACCGAUAGUUUACAAGUAACGUGAGUGAAAGCUGAAAAGAAUCCUUAGCGGGAUGUGAAAAGAACGUGAAACCAGAUGGGUACAGGCUGAAUAGGCGUGAAAGCGAAGAUAUGAGCAGCGUCUAUUCGUGCGUUUCGAAAAAUGCCCCAGGGAGUCUUGAUCAUUGGCGAGGUUAAGGAGUUGAUCUCCGUAGCCGAAGGGAAACCGACAAGUCCGCAGCAGUUUACUGUGAGGGACGAAGUGUGCUCGCUUGGAGUCAAUGGUGGAGGACCUGAAGCCCGACGAUCUAUGCCUGGCCAGAUUGAAGCCCGACGAAAGUUGGGUGGAGGAUCGAACCGUUGCUGAUCUGCAAAUCGCUCGGACGAGCUGGGUAUAGGGGUGAAAGUCCAAUCGAGUUGGGCAAUAGCAGGUUCCGCGUGAAACUACUCGUAGGUAGACGUUCGUGGAGAUUGAUUACGCUGUAGAGCACUGAUUGUGCGUUUAGGGGACUCGCGUCCUCGGCGUGCUGCCAAACUCCGAAGGUGUAAUCGUUGAAGAAGCGGGCAGUGAGUCAUGGUGGGUAAGCUACCAUGACGCAAGGUGAACAAACCAGCCUGAAGUUAAGGUCCCUAAAUAUCAAUUAAGUGUCACAGACAAACCGUGUCCGUGGUCGAAAACAACCAGAAGGUGGGCUUAGAAGCAGCCAUCCUUGAAAGAGUUCGUAACAGAUCACUGGUCUAGCUUGCGGGCCGGGAAAAGGGACGGGGCUCAAAUUGAUUACCGAUACUUCAGACCAUCGAAAGAUGAUGUGGUAACGCGGCGUAGUGUUUGGGUGGAAGCAAGGCUUUGAGGUCUUGUGGACCGGAUACUAAUGAGAGUCUUGGGAAGAGUAGCAGCACAGUGUGGUGAGAAUCCGCACCACCGAAGGGGCCAGGGUUCCUCGGCACUGUUUAUCAGCCGAGGGUUAGCCGGUCCUAAGGCAAUUCUUAAUCGAAAUUGUCGAAAGGGAAUGAUGUUAAUAUUCAUCAGCCCCCCCUGUAAUCUAUGGUGACGGCUCGGGCAAAGUCAUGAGAUCAUAUGUCAGGUCUCAUGAUACCAAGCUUCUGGAGAACUGUUAUAGUGAGAAGGAAGUGAAGUCCUGGGUCCCAUGAAAAGCCACAGGGGGUGACCGUACCGAGAACUGACACAGGUGCCCCUGGGUGAGUAGCCUAAGGUGUAUCGGAUACAAAUAUCGCGAGGGAACUCGGCAAAAUAGCUCCGUAACUUCGGGAGAAGGAGUGCCAGCUUAGGAAUAAGCUGGUCGCAGUGACCAGGGAGCUCCGACUGUUUAAUAAAAACAUAGGGGACUGCCAGAUCGAAAGGUUGUGUAUAGUCCCUGAAUCCUGCUCAGUGCUGGUAUCUGAAACCGGGUUUCAACCUGGCGAAGGACCAGUAAACAGCGGGGGUAACUAUGACCCUCUUAAGGUAGCGUAAUACCUUGUCGCUUAAUUGGCGACUUGCAUGAAUGGUCCA